RNAcentral lists this unclassified non-coding RNA (203 nucleotides) under Hevea brasiliensis (rubber tree). Lineage: Eukaryota; Viridiplantae; Streptophyta; Magnoliopsida; Malpighiales; Euphorbiaceae. The record is from RNAcentral.
GCGGCAUUUACCUCUGCAGGAGAAAAGCCUAUUUUUUCAGCAUGAUCUAUAAGGAUCUCAGAGAUUAGGCUGCCAUCAUCAACAUAAACCCGAAGCUCGUAUUUACUACUCUGUUUAUACUGAAAUCCCUUCACACCAGUAAGAAAGCACUUAAUUUUUCCUGUAACAGUGGAAGCACUGCCAUUCACACCAGCCUGCUUAGC